This 86-nucleotide transfer RNA is filed under the name Hypsizygus marmoreus. It matches the Rfam family "tRNA". From Rfam's summary of the family: Transfer RNA (tRNA) molecules are approximately 80 nucleotides in length. Their secondary structure includes four short double-helical elements and three loops (D, anti-codon, and T loops). Further hydrogen bonds mediate the characteristic L-shaped molecular structure. tRNAs have two regions of fundamental functional importance: the anti-codon, which is responsible for specific mRNA codon recognition, and the 3' end, to which the tRNAs corresponding amino acid is attached (by aminoacyl-tRNA synthetases). tRNAs cope with the degeneracy of the genetic code in two manners: having more than one tRNA (with a specific anti-codon) for a particular amino acid; and 'wobble' base-pairing, i.e. permitting non-standard base-pairing at the 3rd anti-codon position. Lineage: Eukaryota; Fungi; Basidiomycota; Agaricomycetes; Agaricales; Lyophyllaceae. The record is from Rfam by way of RNAcentral.
GGCCGUGUGGCGAAAUGGCAUCGCGUCUGACUACGAUUCAUUGAAUUGGCAUCAGGAGAUUGCAGGUUCGACCCCUGUCUCGGUCA